This 497-nucleotide ribosomal RNA is filed under the name uncultured bacterium. RNAcentral's name for it is "partial 16S ribosomal RNA". It matches the Rfam family "Bacterial small subunit ribosomal RNA", at positions 36 to 507 of the family's 1533-position model. The record is from RNAcentral.
UCUUCCCUCUUUCUUCGUGCCUAAUACAUGCAAGUCGAGCGAACAGAUGAGGAGCUUGCUCCUCUGACGUUAGCGGCGGACGGGUGAGUAACACGUGGAUAACCUACCUAUAAGACUGGGAUAACUUCGGGAAACCGGAGCUAAUACCGGAUAAUAUAUUGAACCGCAUGGUUCAAUAGUGAAAGACGGUUUUGCUGUCACUUAUAGAUGGAUCCGCGCCGCAUUAGCUAGUUGGUAAGGUAACGGCUUACCAAGGCAACGAUGCGUAGCCGACCUGAGAGGGUGAUCGGCCACACUGGAACUGAGACACGGUCCAGACUCCUACGGGAGGCAGCAGUAGGGAAGCUUCCGCAAUGGGCGAAAGCCUGACGGAGCAACGCCGCGUGAGUGAUGAAGGUCUUCGGAUCGUAAAACUCUGUUAUUAGGGAAGAACAAAUGUGUAAGUAACUAUGCACGUCUUGACGGUACCUAAUCAGAAAGCCACGGCUAACUACGUG